RNAcentral lists this transfer RNA (74 nucleotides) under Streptomyces violaceus. RNAcentral describes it as "tRNA-Pyl". The record is from RNAcentral. RNAcentral also lists the same sequence under 1 other name. Lineage: Bacteria; Bacillati; Actinomycetota; Actinomycetes; Kitasatosporales; Streptomycetaceae.
GGACUGGGUGGCGCGGUGCCAGGACGGCCGGUUCUAGGCCGGUUCCGGGCCGGUUCCAGAUCGGUCCCGGGCUG